Molecule: ribosomal RNA, 501 nt
Filed under: uncultured eukaryote
Lineage: Eukaryota
Description: bacterial SSU rRNA
Rfam family: Eukaryotic small subunit ribosomal RNA
Source: RNAcentral
UGGUGUGGCCUAGAUCAUAUACCAACCUUUAACGUAUUUUUGACUAGUUCUUUCCUUUAUAGGGGGGAUUGUUAUAAUAAUAGUGUUUACUUUGAGGAAAUUAGAGUGUUAAAAGCAAGCAUAACAUUUGCCUGAAUAUAUUAGCAUGGGAUAAUAAUAUAAAGCUAAAACCUGCAUUCUAAUGGGGGAUUUUAUUUCUUGUUAGGUGCAUUGUUGUUGGUUCAAUAAAGAGGGAUUUAGCUAUGAUUAAUAGGGAUAGUUGUGGUCACUUGUAUUGAGCCUGGAGAGGUGAAAUUCUAGGAUCGGCUCAAGACAAACUACAGCGAAAGCAUUUGACAAGGAUGUUUUCACUAAUCAAGAACGAAAGUUAGGGGAUCGAAGAUGAUCAGAUACCGUCGUAGUCCUAACUAUAAACGAUGUCGACCAAGGAUCCAGGAACGUUACAUGGAUGACUCCCUGGGCACUUUACGAGAAAUCAUAAGUAUUCGGACUCUGGGGGGA